GUCCAUGCCCUAAACGAUGAUCACUUGGUGUCGGCCGCAAGGUCGGUGCCAGAGCUAACGCGUUAAGUGAUCCACCUGGGGAGUACGCUCGCAAGGGUGAAACUCAAAGGAAUUGACGGGGGCCCGCACAAGCAGUGGAGCAUGUGGUUCAAUUCGAUGCAACGCGAAGAACCUUACCUAGGCUUGAAAGGCCGUCUAAACCCGUGAAAGCGGGCUACCCGCAAGGGGGGCGGUACAGGUGCUGCAUGGCUGUCGU
This 256-nucleotide ribosomal RNA is filed under the name uncultured bacterium. RNAcentral describes it as "partial 16S ribosomal RNA". It matches the Rfam family "Bacterial small subunit ribosomal RNA", at positions 793 to 1055 of the family's 1533-position model. The record is from RNAcentral.